UUUAACAGAGAUCAGAAGAAAUUAGUUAAAGGCACGGCUGACAAAUUGAAGACGUGGGCUAUCAAACUCUUGGCGUCGUCAAAGAGCAACAACAGUCGAGAUUUGGUCUUGGACGAGUUCCCGGAAUGGCUGCAACGUUUCAGCAUCGACCACCGGAUCAAAGACACCAACACCAAGUUGAAGAGGAUCGCUAACGAGAAAAAAGAGCCUGUCAGUGUUUCAGGGCAGCAACAACAAGAAGGAAAAGAAGAAAAACCAUUCCGGAGAAGAUGAUCUCACUUACGGUCCGCGGGAUAACGUCAUUGGAUCAAGGCCGGAACUUUGGACAUGGAUUACUUCUGUCUCGGUUGUCAUGUAGAAAUUAUGGGCCCGUAUGUAUGGAACAUCCGCUCUUCUUUGGAAGUUUAUGCAAUCGCGAAUGGAAG
Long non-coding RNA from Daphnia pulex (common water flea), 425 nucleotides. RefSeq lists it as uncharacterized. The record is from RefSeq and is a predicted model, not a curated record. The transcript is spliced from 3 exons. Lineage: Eukaryota; Metazoa; Arthropoda; Branchiopoda; Diplostraca; Daphniidae.